AACAGGAUUAGAUACCCUGGUAGUCCACGCCCUAAACGAUGUCUACUAGUUGUCGGGUCUUAAUUGACUUGGUAACGCAGCUAACGCGUGAAGUAGACCGCCUGGGGAGUACGGUCGCAAGAUUAAAACUCAAAGGAAUUGACGGGGACCCGCACAAGCGGUGGAUGAUGUGGAUUAAUUCGAUGCAACGCGAAAAACCUUACCUACCCUUGACAUGUACAGAAUCCCGAAGAGAUUUGGGAGUGUUCGAAAGAAAACUGUAACACAGGUGCUGCAUGGCUGUCGUCAGCUCGUGUCGUGAGAUGUUGGGUUAAGUCCCGCAACGAGCGCAACCCUUGUCAUUAGUUGCUACGAAAGGGCACUCUAAUGAGGCUGCCGGUGACAAACCGGAGGAAGGUGGGGAUGACGUCAAGUCCUCAUGGCCCUUAUGGGUAGGGCUUCACACGUCAUACAAUGGUACAUACAGAGGGCCGCCAACCCGCGAGGGGGAGCUAAUCCCAGAAAGUGUAUCGUAGUCCGGAUUGUAGUCUGCAACUCGACUACAUGAGGUUGGAAUCGCUAGUAAUCGCGGAUCAGCAUGUCGCGGUGAAUACGUUCCCGGGUCUUGUACACACCGCCCGUCACACCAUGGGAGCGGGUUUUACCAGAAGUAGGUAGCCUAACCGUAAGGAGGGCGCUUACCACGGUAGGAUUCGUGACUGGGGUGAAGUCGUAACAAGGUAACCGUA
RNAcentral lists this ribosomal RNA (728 nucleotides) under uncultured endophytic bacterium. RNAcentral's name for it is "bacterial SSU rRNA". It matches the Rfam family "Bacterial small subunit ribosomal RNA", at positions 771 to 1504 of the family's 1533-position model. The record is from RNAcentral.